RNAcentral lists this ribosomal RNA (449 nucleotides) under uncultured organism. Its description in RNAcentral is "partial 16S ribosomal RNA". It matches the Rfam family "Bacterial small subunit ribosomal RNA", at positions 333 to 798 of the family's 1533-position model. The record is from RNAcentral.
ACACUCCUACGGGAGGCAGCAGUGGGGAAUAUUGGACAAUGGGCGCAAGCCUGAUCCAGCCAUGCCGCGUGAGUGAUGAAGGCCCUAGGGUUGUAAAGCUCUUUCACCGGUGAAGAUAAUGACGGUAACCGGAGAAGAAGCCUCGGCUAACUUCGUGCCAGCAGCCGCGGUAAUACGAAGGGGGCUAGCGUUGUUCGGAUUUACUGGGCGUAAAGCGCACGUAGGCGGACUAUUAAGUCAGGGGUGAAAUCCCGGGGCUCAACCCCGGAACUGCCUUUGAUACUGGUAGUCUUGAGUUCGAGAGAGGUGAGUGGAAUUCCGAGUGUAGAGGUGAAAUUCGUAGAUAUUCGGAGGAACACCAGUGGCGAAGGCGGCUCACUGGCUCGAUACUGACGCUGAGGUGCGAAAGCGUGGGGAGCAAACAGGAUUAGAUACCCUUGUAGUCCCAU